RNAcentral lists this small RNA (497 nucleotides) under Pongo abelii (Sumatran orangutan). Its description in RNAcentral is "processed transcript". The record is from RNAcentral. Lineage: Eukaryota; Metazoa; Chordata; Mammalia; Primates; Hominidae.
AUUUCUAAAAGGAUCAUGCCUCGUUCGGAAGGUUUUUGUGUGUGUGAAGCCAAUGGACUUUCUUAAAGUUUUUUAAAAAUGGAUAAAAUAAAUAGGAUUCCAAAGGAAAUCCAUUAUGUUGAAAUAGUUAUCUAUGAGUAUAAACUCCAAAGACAUAAUAUAGUAGUAUAUAUACUUGCUUUAAAAUUAACCUUCGUAAACAAGAUCUAUUGGCGAGACUAGUAGUAACUCCUGGGAUUUCAAAGUAACAGUGAGCCUGACCAUACCUUACACAGCUAAAGGGUACAGACGAAAACAUCUGUGGUCUCCGUGGUUGUUAAAGUUGCAGAACCGUGGAACCUCUGGAGUAUUACAGGAGAUUUCUGAAAGAGAACUGCCGUCCUGAUGGAAGAGAACUUGGUGAAUUCAGAACCACAACUGUCAACGUAGGUUCAAUUAGUACCGCAGAUGGUUCUGCUUUAGUGAAGUUGGGAAAUACUACAGUAAUCUGUGGAGUU